GACGAACGCUGGCGGCGUGCCUAACACAUGCAAGUCGAGCGGGGUAGCCGGAAGGUGUAGCGAUACAGGCGGAGGGGUACCUAGCGGCGAACGGGUGAGUAACGCGUGGGCAAUCUGCCCCCGGGGGCGGGAUAACAGACCGAAAGGCCUGCUAAUACCGCAUGAAGCCGUCCUAUCGCAUGAUAAGACGGUAAAAGGGGAAACCCGCCUGGGGAGGAGCCCGCGUCCCAUUAGCUAGUUGGUGGUGUAAAGGACCACCAAGGCGAUGAUGGGUAGCCGGCCUGAGAGGGUGAACGGCCACAUUGGGACUGAGACACGGCCCAGACUCCUACGGGGGGCAGCAGUGAGGGAUUUUCGGCAAUGGGCGAAAGCCUGACCGAGCGACGCCGCGUGAGCGAAGAAGGCCUUCGGGUCGUAAAGCUCUGUCUAGGGGGAAGAGUAAGGACGGUACCUCUGGAGGAAGCCACGGCUAACUACGUG
RNAcentral lists this ribosomal RNA (480 nucleotides) under uncultured bacterium. Its description in RNAcentral is "bacterial SSU rRNA". It matches the Rfam family "Bacterial small subunit ribosomal RNA", at positions 28 to 507 of the family's 1533-position model. The record is from RNAcentral.